CCGGCCCCGGUUCACGUCCCGUCCGAAGGCGCGACGACCCGGUGCC
Molecule: regulatory RNA element, 46 nt
Organism: Actinopolymorpha singaporensis
Lineage: Bacteria; Bacillati; Actinomycetota; Actinomycetes; Propionibacteriales; Actinopolymorphaceae
Rfam family: L31-Actinobacteria ribosomal protein leader
Source: Rfam